CACAGAGUAAAUAUUAUCCAUCAACCACUGUUCAGAGAUAACCACUGCUAGCGUUUGGGUGAUAAGGUCUACAGUUUUGUUUUGUUUUUUUUGCGGUACGCGGGCCUCUCACUGUUGUGGCCUCUCCCGUUGAGGAGCACAGGCUCAGCGGCCACGGCUCACGGGCCCAGCCGCUCCGCGGCAUGUGGGAUCUUCCCAGACCGGGGCACGAACCCGUGUCCCCUGCAUCGGCAGGCGGACUCUCAACCACUGCGCCACCAGGGAAGCCCGGUCUACAGUUUUUUUUUCCAUGAAGGGAAGGCCCAGGAAGGCCUUGAGCACCUGCUGCCUCCACCCCUCCUGAGCGAAGGCCCCAACACCUCACUGAUGGGCUCAGAGCCCCCCUGUAACUUCUCCACUGCUGCCCACCGGUGCAACGUGGGUGGCUUGCAGGCUGCAGUGAUCAUCGUCCCGACCCUGCUCUCCUCGUCCACUCUGCUGGUCAUAAGCUGCAUCUUAUGGAAGACCUGCCGUCGGUGGUCUCGGGUCACCCGCCCCAGCCUGCCAUCCACACGAGGGGCCCAGUGAAGUCUUCUCUGAAUGCUCCUGCCCACACCUCACCUCCAAUCCUGAAGUAUGAAAGACAGGAAUAUUCGCUCAAUCUAGGUGACCAACAUUAUUUGAGAUGGUGGCUUUUCCAUCACCCUGGGUUUCUGAUUAUGAAAAGCAGAGCCUUCUGUUGACCCACGAUGUUCAAGUUGUGCGAGCAAGAAAUAAAUCUUUCUUCGUUGUAUUAAAGCUUAAAAUGCCUCCCUCUGCUGCGGCCUCUCCCGUUGCGGAGCACAGGCUCCGGACGCGCAGGCUCAGCGGCCA
Molecule: long non-coding RNA, 852 nt
Organism: Physeter macrocephalus (sperm whale)
Lineage: Eukaryota; Metazoa; Chordata; Mammalia; Artiodactyla; Physeteridae
Exons: 6
Source: RefSeq, a predicted model, not a curated record